Molecule: long non-coding RNA, 360 nt
Organism: Micropterus salmoides (largemouth bass)
Lineage: Eukaryota; Metazoa; Chordata; Actinopteri; Centrarchiformes; Centrarchidae
Exons: 4
Source: RefSeq, a predicted model, not a curated record
CUCUGGACUCCCUCUGCCAUUUCUCAACCUGCUUCCCGGCCUUGCUCUGCUCUCUCUCCUCUUGGUCAUGUCUUAACCUCCGAACUCCCCAUGAACUUUGUCUCGAAGAUGCCCCUGGUCUUUAAUGUCUCAGAGAUUUGUCCCCGGAAGAGGAAGCCACGCCUGGUCAGAUCAAUCAAAAUCUGCCUGACGAUCUCUCCCAGGUCAUCAUCGUCCCCACUGUGUCGUUCACUAUGGCAACCACAUCCAGCUCAAACUCCUGUGAAAACAAACAGCAAGAAAAUGACUCACAGGUUUUCAUUGAACAUUAAAAUGUUCAAGUCCACAUUUUAUAUCCAGCACUUGUUGGUGAAUCGGUGU